AGUGCAGAAGAGGAGAGUGGAAUUCCACGUGUAGCGGUGAAAUGCGUAGAGAUGUGGAGGAACACCAGUGGCGAAGGCGACUCUCUGGUCUGUAACUGACGCUGAGGAGCGAAAGCGUGGGGAGCGAACAGGAUUAGAUACCCUGGUAGUCCACGCCGUAAACGAUGAGUGCUAAGUGUUAGGGGGUUUCCGCCCCUUAGUGCUGCAGCUAACGCAUUAAGCACUCCGCCUGGGGAGUACGGUCGCAAGACUGAAACUCAAAGGAAUUGACGGGGGCCCGCACAAGCGGUGGAGCAUGUGGUUUAAUUCGAAGCAACGCGAAGAACCUUACCAGGUCUUGACAUCCUCUGACAAUCCUAGAGAUAGGACGUCCCCUUCGGGGGCAGAGUGACAGGUGGUGCAUGGUUGUCGUCAGCUCGUGUCGUGAGAUGUUGGGUUAAGUCCCGCAACGAGCGCAACCCUUGAUCUUAGUUGCCAGCAUUCAGUUGGGCACUCUAAGGUGACUGCCGGUGACAAACCGGAGGAAGGUGGGGAUGACGUCAAAUCAUCAUGCCCCUUAUGACCUGGGCUACACACGUGCUACAAUGGACAGAACAAAGGGCAGCGAAACCGCGAGGUUAAGCCAAUCCCACAAAUCUGUUCUCAGUUCGGAUCGCAGUCUGCAACUCGA
RNAcentral lists this ribosomal RNA (670 nucleotides) under Bacillus subtilis. RNAcentral describes it as "bacterial SSU rRNA". It matches the Rfam family "Bacterial small subunit ribosomal RNA", at positions 645 to 1315 of the family's 1533-position model. Lineage: Bacteria; Bacillati; Bacillota; Bacilli; Caryophanales; Bacillaceae. The record is from RNAcentral.